RNAcentral lists this unclassified non-coding RNA (298 nucleotides) under Hevea brasiliensis (rubber tree). The record is from RNAcentral. Lineage: Eukaryota; Viridiplantae; Streptophyta; Magnoliopsida; Malpighiales; Euphorbiaceae.
UUUGCCUAGUCUGAAGGUUUUGUUUGUUCAUCUGUAAUGUUUUAAUAUUGGAAUUUUUAGUGAUUAGAAUAUGGAGUCUGGCCAAAAAGCUUUUAUGCUAAUAUAGGCAAUUAGAAAUCCCUGUAAAAUUUUCUUUGCAAGUGCUUGCAAUUAUUAGUUAAGAUAAUUGUGGCAGAAUUCCUUCUAGAUCCAAGUGCAACUUUGGUGAAUCAACUUUGCUGCCUGUCCGCUGAGUAUUUUAAAGAAUGGAGAUAAAAUAACCAGCCAUUCAAUGUAUGAAUUUGACAAUUUAAGAUGA